CCGCUAUCUCCUAAGGAAGCCAUCUCUUUUACUUUUCUCCCUUGAAUUUUGUCAUCAAAAUUGUACCUCGGAUAUUUUCAGACUUACCUCCUGAUUGGAGCCAUGGCAGACUGAUUCAUUACGGGCGGGCAGAACUGAACAAAGUGAUCACCGUCCUGUGAUUGCAAUUAUCGAUAUCGAGAUUUACAAGGUGAACCCUGAUCUGCGGGCGAAAGUCCUGAAAGACGUCAUCCAGGACCUCGGCCCCCCUGACUCAACCAUCAUCGUACAGGUGGAGACAGAUGAAGAAGAAAAUGUGUUUGAAGAGUUGAUGCCAGCUUUACUCCAAGAGUUAUCGCAAGUUGGGGAAGUUGUUUUAGUCAGAUUUGUAGAAGAUACGAUGUGGGUCACUUUCAGAGAUGGACAAACUGCUCUUGCUGCGGCCAAAAAAGCCAACACUCAGGUCAGACCUUUUCCCGGAAGAUUAUUGCCAGUCAAACAUAACAAAAAUAGCGGAAUACCCAGAUAUAUAGUUUAUAUAAGCAGGAUCGAGAAGUGGGAAAAUCUUUUGAAACGGUUCAAAGUUAUCUUGUAGAAAAAUUGUAAUAUUUCUUUCUACCUGCAGAUCUCCUGUGGAUCCCUUAAUCUAUCUUGAUAGAUGUUUUUUGAACACGCAAUGGGCAACGAAAGCAAUGAUAGGCGGCCCAUCAUAUUUUUCAGCCCUGCUUUUCUCAACAUUGACUCACAGAAAGUUGGAUUUUAAAAGCUCAUCACUCUCUGGAGCUUGUAUAGAAUAUCAUAUCAAAUAAUAAAAAAUUCAGUAGGCGUUGAAUUCUUCUUGGGUUUUCUCUGCAGGGUACUCUAGGUUUAAUGAAAUAUUAUUCUCAUGUUCAUGCAUGCCUCCGACUCUGUUGCAGGUCUGUGGCUACAAAUUACACUUAAGUCUGAAAACUCCUGAUUGGUUGACCGAGUCAUGCACGAGCUAGAAUUUUGCUCUGCCAAUACAGUAUCUCUCUGUGAUUCGUUUUCAAACCUCUGUGCCAGCUCUAACACUGUUUCUGAUCUCAGUCCAGGUCACAGAGCUGUGGAUCGGUGCAAGUCCCCCUCAAGGCCUGCUCAACCACCCAGACCUAAAGUCAAGGCUGGCGUUUUAAGCAUCCCCGUGAAAGAGCCGCCUCGACCGCCACCUCCAUCUGAUUAUCAACAGCCCAUCUCCGGUGGUGCAUUCCUGCGCGAUGAGCUGGAAGCUACCACACAAAUGACUCGGCAAUCUACGAAGAAAUAGUCUCGGAAGAAUUCGAGAGUGCCCCUAUUCCCUCUGGACCUCCACCGCCACCACCUGUGAUAUCUAACCCUCCCCCGCUCCCUCACCGCACCCUACCCCCACCACCAAUCCCCAGCCGAGAGGCCCCGCCUCCAAUCCCGGCUCGUAGCGGGGGUCCUCCACCUCUACCGGCUAGACCUGUUUCUCGACCCAACUAAGCUUCAAGCAUUCCUCAUAAAAUUAUACUCACGUAAACACGACUUUUUACGAAUUGGAAUUUAUAGAUAAAGCCAGGCGCAGUGCAACUGCUGUCUCAAUUUUGUCUUUUUCUGAAAGUUCGAACUUUUCCGAUUCGCCGACAACCAAUUUUAGACUAAAAGUAGGUAUCUUUUUUUCAUCCAAUGAUAAAAAAGACACGUAAAAGUAAGCAAGGAGCACCUUUUAUUUUUUGUAUAAAAAAUAACUUAAUAACUUACAAAGUAGUUCAGCGGUAGAAGAUUUAGUUUGAUUUCCUGUGUAUCAUAUGUUUAAUUUUGACAUUUUGAAAUCAAAUGCGGACUCCACAGUAAAUAAAGGAGUUUGGUGAAGAGAGUGUCAAACAAAGUGGUUGCAAACUUAGCAAAUAUAUUUGAAGAUCAUUAAUUCAUUUUUGUAAAAUUCUUGCUCGGCAUUAGUUUGAUAAAACCCUGAUAAUAAUUCAACUUACAUUUAUAUUUUUCGCGUUUUUAAAAAAUAAGUACUUAUGAAAAUGUCUGCUGGCAGUUAUUUUAUGAAAAAGUUUGAACACUCUUAUCUUCCGAGGUGUUACAGAGGAAAUAACUCAAACAAGCCAUAGUUUGUAUUUUUAUUCUAACUUUGAUUGGGCUUUCUCAAGCAACCGUAUGAAAUGAAAUCUUGCCGAUAUUCCAUGAUCUCAUCUGGAAAUUCUAUGUUCCUGUUUUUAUGAAUUCCAUGAUGACUGCUUUAUUUGAAGUGUGCAUAGAUAGUUAGCCAAGUUUGAGCAAAAAUUGACUGAGUCGAUGAUUAACUUUGGAAUGGUCCUUUCUAUACACCUAACAUUAUAACCUCUGUCUCAAAACUACCUAAUUUUUUGUCAUUCAUCGAGACAAUAGAGGAUUGCAUCCGUGAAUGAAAUGUCUCCAGACGCUAAAGCAGUGAAUGAAUGGUGUUUUGAAUUUGAAUUUUUUCUUAUUUAAAAAUUUUUGAAGAUUGUAUUUGUAUCAUUUUGAUGUAUGACAGAUGAACCUAACCUAAAUUUAGCCUAACGUCUAUGCAGCUAUAUCAAAAUUAUUUGCUUGGCAUUGUACCCUCAAUUACAAUGUAUCUGCUAUAAUCAUUGUUUUUAGAUCAUAUCUUUACAUCUUUCUAUCUAUUCCAAGUCAUGAACGAUGAUUCCUGUUAAGUUUGUAAUAUUUAGUAUUAUUGUACGUAUGAUGAUUUUUGUUUAACUCCAUGUAUAGUGUCUGUUUUUGUAGACAUUGUGUAAAUUAAUAUUUAAGUCUAUUUUUUGCCUCCUUUUGGGCUCUUCGAUUCCUCCUACUUUUUUUAUAUUUUUUUUUUUUUUGUGGUACCUACCAAAGUUUCUCUAAUGGUGGAGGUUCCCUAAUUAAGGCCACACAUUUCUUGUUUGGAUUAGUUGCAAGAAACUAAGUCUUUGCGAAUU
This 2906-nucleotide long non-coding RNA is filed under the name Bemisia tabaci. RNAcentral's name for it is "lncRNA ENSSSA1NGG008944". The record is from RNAcentral. Lineage: Eukaryota; Metazoa; Arthropoda; Insecta; Hemiptera; Aleyrodidae.